CGCAAUCGACGAUAGUCUGACGGAGCAACGGCGCGUGAGUGAUGAAUGUUUUCGGAUCGUAAGUUCUGUUAUAGAGAAGAACAAGUACCGUUAGAAUAGGGCGGCACCUUGACGGUACUAACCAGAAAGCCACGGCUAACUACGUGCCAGCAGCCGCGGUAAUAUGUAGGUGGCAAGCGUUGUCCGGAAUUAUUGGGCGUAAAGCGCUCGCAGGCGGUUUCUUAAGUCUGAUGUGAAAGCCCCCGGCUCAACCGGGGAGGGUCAUUGGAAACUGGGGAACUUGAGUGCAGAAGAGGAGAGUGGAAUUCCACGUGUAGCGGUGAAAUGCGUAGAGAUGUGGAGGAACACCAGUGGCGAAGGCGACUCUCUGGUCUGUAACUGACGCUGAGGAGCGAAAGCGUGGGGAGCGAACAGGAUUAGAUACCCUGGUAGUCCACGCCGUAAACGAUGAGUGCUAAGUGUUAGGGGGUUUCCGCCCCUUAGUGCUGCAGCUAACGCAUUAAGCACUCCGCCUGGGGAGUACGGUCGCAAGACUGAAACUCAAAGGAAUUGACGGGGGCCCGCACAAGCGGUGGAGCAUGUGGUUUAAUUCGAAGCAACGCGAAGAACCUUACCAGGUCUUGACAUCCUCUGACAAUCCUAGAGAUAGGACGUCCCCUUCGGGGGCAGAGUGACAGGUGGUGCAUGGUUGUCGUCAGCUCGUGUCGUGAGAUGUUGGGUUAAGUCCCGCAACGAGCGCAACCCUUGAUCUUAGUUGCCAGCAUUCAGUUGGGCACUCUAAGGUGACUGCCGGUGACAAACCGGAGGAAGGUGGGGAUGACGUCAAAUCAUCAUGCCCCUUAUGACCUGGGCUACACACGUGCUACAAUGGACAGAACAAAGGGCAGCGAAACCGCGAGGUUAAGCCAAUCCCACAAAUCUGUUCUCAGUUCGGAUCGCAGUCUGCAACUCGACUGCGUGAAGCUGGAAUCGCCAGUAACCGCGCACACAGUUAAAUAGGACGGC
This 1005-nucleotide ribosomal RNA is filed under the name Bacillus subtilis. RNAcentral describes it as "bacterial SSU rRNA". It matches the Rfam family "Bacterial small subunit ribosomal RNA", at positions 367 to 1363 of the family's 1533-position model. The record is from RNAcentral. Lineage: Bacteria; Bacillati; Bacillota; Bacilli; Caryophanales; Bacillaceae.